This 492-nucleotide ribosomal RNA is filed under the name uncultured bacterium. RNAcentral's name for it is "partial 16S ribosomal RNA". It matches the Rfam family "Bacterial small subunit ribosomal RNA", at positions 29 to 507 of the family's 1533-position model. The record is from RNAcentral.
AGUGAACGCUGGCGGUAGGCCUAACACAUGCAAGUCGAACGGCAGCACAGUAAGAGCUUGCUCUUACGGGUGGCGAGUGGCGGACGGGUGAGGAAUACAUCGGAAUCUACUUUUUCGUGGGGGAUAACGUAGGGAAACUUACGCUAAUACCGCAUACGACCUACGGGUGAAAGCAGGGGAUCUUCGGACCUUGCGCGAUUGAAUGAGCCGAUGUCGGAUUAGCUAGUUGGCGGGGUAAAGGCCCACCAAGGCGACGAUCCGUAGCUGGUCUGAGAGGAUGAUCAGCCACACUGGAACUGAGACACGGUCCAGACUCCUACGGGAGGCAGCAGUGGGGAAUAUUGGACAAUGGGCGCAAGCCUGAUCCAGCCACACCGCGUGGGUGAAGAAGGCCUCCGGGUUGUAAAGCCCUUUUGUUGGGAAAGAAAAGCAGCAGGUUAAUACCCCGCUGUUCCGACGGUACCCAAAGAAUAAGCACCGGCUAACUUCGUG